AAUUGAUGAUUGGAUAUUAUAAAUUGAGUGUGGAUUUCGAAAACUAUGGAUAUUAUUAUUUAAUUAAUUUUCAGAAUAAAUUUAAUCAUCUAUUAAAUUCCGAAAAUUUUCAUUGGGACCUUAUUUGCUCAGAAUUUCGUGCCGAUCGUUGCUGUGCUUGUAGAAUUUGAAAUUGAUGAUUGGUUGUGGCGAAUUGAAUGUGAUUUCGAUUUAUGAGGAUUCUUUAUAAAAUCCUAAAUGUGGAAAUUGAGGGGCGGUUGGCCGUGAAAUACCACCUAUUAGAGGUCGUGCCCGAUGAGGCCGUGAAAUACCACCUAUUAGAGGUCGUGCCCGUUGAGGCCGUGAAAUACCACCUAUUAGAGAUCGUGCCCAAUGAAGCCGUGAAAUACCACCUAUUAGAGGUCGUGCCCGAUGAGGCCGUGAAAUACCACCUAUUAGAGGUCGUGCCCGUUGAGGCCGUGAAAUACCACCUAUUAGAGGUCGUGCCCGAUGAGGCCAUGAAAUACCACCUAUUAGAGGUCGUGCCCGAUGAGGCCGUGAAAUACCACCUAAUAGAGGUCGUGCCCGAUGAGGCCGUGAAAUACCACCUAAUAGAGGUCGUGCCCGAUGAGGCCGUGAAAUACCACCUAUUAGAGGUCGUGCCCGAUGAGGCCGUGAAAUACCACCUAUUAGAGCACCUAUUAGAGGUCGUGCCCGAUGAGGCCGUGAAAUAUCACCUAUUAGAGGUCGUGCCCGUUGAGGCCGUGAAAUACCACCUAUUAGAGGUCGUGCCCGAUGAGGCCGUGAAAUACCACCUAUUAGAGGUCGUGCCUGAUGAGGCCGUGAAAUACCACCUAAUAGAGGUCGUGCCCGAUGAGGCCGUGAAAUACCAC
This 872-nucleotide long non-coding RNA is filed under the name Eucalyptus grandis. RNAcentral's name for it is "long non-coding RNA (EGRA_LNC006863)". Lineage: Eukaryota; Viridiplantae; Streptophyta; Magnoliopsida; Myrtales; Myrtaceae. The record is from RNAcentral.